This 812-nucleotide ribosomal RNA is filed under the name uncultured Nitrososphaera sp. RNAcentral describes it as "bacterial SSU rRNA". It matches the Rfam family "Archaeal small subunit ribosomal RNA", at positions 426 to 1236 of the family's 1478-position model. Lineage: Archaea; Thermoproteati; Nitrososphaerota; Nitrososphaeria; Nitrososphaerales; Nitrososphaeraceae. The record is from RNAcentral.
UGGUGCAGAAUAAGGGGUGGGCAAGUCUGGUGUCAGCCGCCGCGGUAAUACCAGCACCCCGAGUAGUCGGGACGAUUAUUGGGCCUAAAGCAUCCGUAGCUUGUCCUGCAAGUCUUCCGUUAAAUCCACCUGCUCAACAGAUGGGCUGCGGAGGAUACUACAGGGCUAGGAGGCGGGAGAGGCAAGCGGUACUCAGUGGGUAGGGGUAAAAUCCUCUGAUCCACUGAAGACCACCAGUGGCGAAGGCGGCUUGCCAGAACGCGCUCGACGGUGAGGGAUGAAAGCUGGGGGAGCAAACCGGAUUAGAUACCCGGGUAGUCCCAGCUGUAAACGAUGCAGACUCGGUGAUGGGUUGGCUUCGCGCCAACCCAGUGCCGCAGGGAAGCCGUUAAGUCUGCCGCCUGGGGAGUACGGUCGCAAGACUGAAACUUAAAGGAAUUGGCGGGGGAGCACCACAAGGGGUGAAGCCUGCGGUUCAAUUGGAGUCAACGCCGGGAAUCUUACCGGGGGCGACAGCAGUGUGAAGGUCAAGCUGAAGACUUUACCAGACAAGCUGAGGGGAGGUGCAUGGCCGUCGCCAGCUCGUGCCGUGAGGGUGUCCUGUUAAGUCAGGUAACGAGCAAGAUCCCUGCCUCUAGGUGCUACCACCGUUCUCCGGAACGGAGGGGCUAAUUAGAGGGACCGCCUCCGCUGAGGCGGAGGAAGGAGGGGGCUACGGCAGGUCAGUAUGCCCCGAAACCCUCGGGCCACACGCGGGCUGCAAUGGUAAGGACAACGGGUACCGAUUCCGAAAGGAGGAGGAAUCCCACAAA